This 253-nucleotide ribosomal RNA is filed under the name uncultured bacterium. Its description in RNAcentral is "partial 16S ribosomal RNA". It matches the Rfam family "Bacterial small subunit ribosomal RNA", at positions 524 to 776 of the family's 1533-position model. The record is from RNAcentral.
UACGAGUGCUCCAAGCGUUACCCGGAUUUAUUGGGCGUAAAGGGUGUGUAGGCGGCUUAUUUAGUCUUUUGUUAAAGACCCGGGCCUAACUCGGGAAGUGCGAAAGAAACGGGUAAACUAGAGGAUGCGAGAGGUGUACGGAACUCACGGAGUAGGGGUGAAAUCCGUUGAUAUCGUGGGGAACACCAAAGGCGAAGGCAGUACACUGGCGCAUUUCUGACGCUGAAACACGAAAGCGUGGGUAGCGAAUGGG